Molecule: ribosomal RNA, 354 nt
Filed under: uncultured Sphingobacteriales bacterium
Lineage: Bacteria; Pseudomonadati; Bacteroidota; Sphingobacteriia; Sphingobacteriales
Description: bacterial SSU rRNA
Rfam family: Bacterial small subunit ribosomal RNA
Source: RNAcentral
ACGUAGGUGCUGCAUGGUUGUCGUCAGCUCGUGCCGUGAGGUGGUCGGUUAAGUCCCAUAACGAGCGCAACCCCUACCCUUUAGUUGCCAUCAGGUAAUGCUGGGGACGUCUAAAGGAACUGCCUACGCAAGUAGUGAGGAAGGCGGGGAGUGACGUCAAAUCAGCACGGCCCUUACGUCCAGGGCUACACACGUGCUACAAUGGCCGAUACAGAGGGCAGCUACCUGGUGACAGGAUGCAAAUCUCCAAAGUCGGUCUCAGUUCGGAUCGGAGUCUGCAACCCGACUCCGUGAAGUUGGAUUCGCUAGUAAUCGCGCAUCAGCCAUGGCGCGGUGAAUACGUUCCCGGGCCUU